AGCGAACGCUGGCGGCAGGCCUAACACAUGCAAGUCGAACGCCCCUUCGGGGGAGUGGCGGACGGGUGAGUAACGCGUGGGAAUGUGCCCUUUGGUACGGAACAACUGAGGGAAACUUCAGCUAAUACCGUAUGUGCCCUACGGGGGAAAGUUUUAUCGCCAUUGGAGCAGCCCUCGUUGGAUUAGGUAGUUGGUGGGGUAAUGGCCCACCAAGCCGACGAUCCAUAGCUGGUCUGAGAGGAUGAUCAGCCACACUGGGACUGAGACACGGCCCAGACUCCUACGGGAGGCAGCAGUGGGGAAUCUUGCGCAAUGGGCGAAAGCCUGACGCAGCCAUGCCGCGUGAAUGAUGAAGGUCUUAGGAUUGUAAAAUUCUUUCACCGGGGAAGAUAAUGACGGUACCCGGAGAAGAAGCCCCGGCUAACUUCGUG
RNAcentral lists this ribosomal RNA (431 nucleotides) under uncultured bacterium. RNAcentral's name for it is "partial 16S ribosomal RNA". It matches the Rfam family "Bacterial small subunit ribosomal RNA", at positions 29 to 507 of the family's 1533-position model. The record is from RNAcentral.